This is a long non-coding RNA of Delphinapterus leucas (beluga whale), 3594 nucleotides long. RefSeq lists it as uncharacterized. The record is from RefSeq and is a predicted model, not a curated record. Lineage: Eukaryota; Metazoa; Chordata; Mammalia; Artiodactyla; Monodontidae.
CUGGCGUGACAAGAACAUGCUCUGAGUGAUCACUGGUCCUGGUUAGAGAGAGACCUGGAGACCCACAGACUGAAGCAGGGCUGCUCCAGCCAACCUGCAGACCUAUAAAGAGAACACUACUUGUCACUAGCCACCUGCACAUGAAGAGCUUGGUUUGGGAGGCUGCCUGAUGCCCCCAAGGGCCUGGCACGUGCCCAGGUGCCAUCCCUAAGCAGAAGGGCCUUUCUGGGGCUGUGCCUGGAUGGCAGUGGUGGAGCUCACCUUCCCAGCUGCUGGCCCUGCUGACCAACCAUGGCGCCAGGCCCCGACGAGUGUAGACAUCAGCCUCGGCCUUUGGGGAUACACGGUGUUAAAAGCGGGCCCAGCUGGAUGUGCUUCCUCUCCAGGGAGCUCCUACGCAACAACGCAGGCCUGGCAGGAUGCUGGGUGUCUUUGUAUAUUCUCUUUUGAUGGGUGAAAAUUUCCCACGAUAUUGGAGCUUGGAGCAAAAGCAGACCCCCGCCGCAUCCCUCCGCCUCCUGAAACCCUUACCUGGAAAGCGCUGAGUGCAGGAGGGAGACGCGGGCCACGUGGAGCGACUCUGUAUGUGCGUCCAUGAGCUGAGUCCUGGCCGGGCGAUGGCCCAAUCUUCCAAAGAGUGCCAGCCCCCUGGACCUGUGUGGGUUGGAGGGAGCCUCCAUUGUACUCUGGCUGCAGGUAGAAACAUGAUACAAUCAUAUUUCACCCCCAAAUCACCACUAGCCCAGAAAUGCCUAAUUUGGUUUAUUUAUUCAUGUGACUACAACCCUGAUGAAGGUGGGGCAAUCCAGUGGGCUAGUGUGACCCCAAGGGGACAAUGCCUCCCACACAAGUUCUGGCCCUGAGCCAAGCUACUCCAGGAUGAAAAAAAAAGGCACUGAGCUCAGCCCUCAGCUCACCUCCCCUCCAGGACACCCUCUGGGACCCAUAUCUGGUGUGACCCUUCUGACAUAUAUAAAAAUGCCUCAGUGUUCCCGAAUCUGGUUAUAUUUGGUCUUGUGCAGGCUUCUCAGAAAUAUCCACCUUACUUCUGGGUAUACAUAUAUAUAUUGAUUUGUGGCCUAUUCCAGUCCUUAAAACUCUACUCAAUUUUUCAGGCUUGGACCAAGUGCCACCACCUCCAGGCAGCCUUACCAGAUUGCUCACAGAUUGAAUUCACUGCUCUCUCCUCUGUAGCUCAAGUCCCCUUCCCACCUUGAGUACAUUUAGAUGUUUAAAUUCUGUUUCCUCUAUUAGACUCACUCAUUCAUUCAUUUAUAAAUCCAUUUGGCUGAACUUGACUGAGUCCCUGCCAUGCACAGGCCUGGUGCCUUCAGGUGCCUGUAUCCCCAGGCAGGUUUACGUUCCUAGCGCUGAGCACAGCACCUGCCUGUUGGGUAACAGGUGUUUGGUAAAUAAGUAGAUGCUGUGAACCCAUCUGCCCAACCCUCCUGCACUCAGCACAUCUUUGUUUAGACUUUUACCUGUGCCUUUGCAGAUCACACUUCAAUGAACAUUUUUCCUCCCUUGAUGGGAGAGCUGUGGUGGUGUGGUAAAAACUGUUGGUCAGACUGUUGGAGUUGCCUGCUGCUCUGGCCUGGGCCCCCGGCCGCCGGGUUCCCACGCUGGCUGCGCUUCAGACAAGCUUGCCCAGCCCCGCUGUCCUCCUCCACGGCCUCUGAGAGGUGAGGGCAGUGGGCUUGCUGGAGCCUGUCCAGGUGGUGUAGCUGUUGCCAUUACCUGCAUCAGUCUCUUGGGGCGGCCGUAACAAAGUACCACCAAACGGGUGGCUCGAAACAACAGAAACUUCUCUCACAGCUCUGAAGACCAGAAGUCCAAAAUCAGGGCGUUGGCAGGACCCCACUCCCUUCCCAGGCUCUAGAGGGGAUCCUUCCUCACCUCUACAGGCCUCUGGGGGCUGCUGGUGUUCCUCGCUGUGCCUUGGCCUGUGCACACAUCACUCCAAUCUCUGUUUCUGUCUUUACUUGGCCUUAUUCAGUGUGUCUCCCUCUGUGUCUCUUCUCUUCUUUUAAAGACACCAGCCACUGGUGUAGAGCCAACUCUCACCCAGUACAACCUCAUCUUAAUGACAUUUGCAAAGAUCCUGUUUCCAAAUAAGGUCACAUUCUGACGUUCUGGGCGAACGUGAAUUUAGGGGGACACUGUUCAACCACCACACAGCCCUCCUGGGCAGAAAUCCGGCAUCACCCACAUUCCCAGAGCGCUGCUAUGGGUGUGCAGGGAAGGGAAGAGGACCCGGAUGGUUGGGCCCCUCUCAUGGCAGCCACACGCCUGAUCCAGUCAUGACUCUCCUUCAGCCCUGCCUGGAGGCCCCGAGGCCCCCCCAGUCCGGCUGUGGUUGAGCCGAGAGUCCUGCCCAGGCUUCUGGUUCUGAAUCCGAGUCUCUUCCUAGAGAGACAGGUUUCUUCCGCAGUGUGCGCCCUGGUCGUCCUUGGGCUGCCCUGUGUCUGGGUGAGCAAUGCCACCUGAGGGGGCCCAGUAUGGCAUUUUGUAAGCACAGUGUGACAUUCCUAGGUAGCUCUGCAGCCUCUGGGGGCAGAAGCCCUGGUUUCUGACACGUAAAUUACUGUGUUGUUGCCAAUGUAAGUUGUAAACACAAGUAAGCCCACGUCACAAAUCCACUUUUAUUAAAACAUGUAACUUUUCAGUGUUAUGGGUCCAAUUUUCACUAAAUGAGGAAGAUGACCAAACCAUCUGAGCAAGAAAAAUUAAGGACAACUCUUUACCAAUCAGUGGGGACCCUAAACGCAUGAGUGAAAAUGAAGAUAGCCAUUCCAGUAUUUUAUGUUAAUUAAACUCUGGAUAUGACUCAGCUUGUAGAGAAGUGAAACAUUGGUUCUUCGUCAGGCUGUUCAGAGUGUUGUCCUUGGGAAAGAAGUUGGGCGAGUUGGGCCUUGUCUGUUUAUGUUCAUUGCUGUGAGCAUCUCUGCCCUGAAGCACCAAGAUGGGGCACAGCCCCGCUGCACAAAGGUCUUUUCUUAUGAACACAGUCAGUUUGUUUGAGCUUCUUACAAGGGUUAUGGUGUCUGGGCUUGGGUGGCCAGGGAACCUGGGUGCCUGGGGCUAAGAGCCUGGUGGGGCUCUGCCCCGUGCUUCCCAGCUCAGCCUCUUUGAGCUUCAGUCUCCUCCAUGGUACCCUGGGAAUGAUGCCAGCAGCCACCUCAAAGGCUGCUGUGAGGAUUAAAUGCCUCCUUCCAGGAGAAGGGCCUAGCACUGGGCCAGCACGCGCAGUGGGCGCUCCGUGAAGCCAGCCGCUAUUAUCCACACUUGCCUGAUGAGCGCACGCACAAAUGUGAAAUUAUCAGCCCACCUCAUAGGUGGGCCUUUUCCUCCCUCAGAAUCACUCCCGGCAAGGAGCAUCUUCUCCCCUUGCAAACUCUGGGGAAGUGGUUAUCAGAUGUGAACCCAGGAGCUCUGUCUGCUCUUGGCAUUCAACCCUCAGCACAGAGCCACCAUGAUUACAAUUCUUACUUUUAUCUGCUCUUUAAAGUAAACAACCAGUUCACACCCCGAGAGCUUACAGAUUGGUAGGAUAUAAAUACAUCAAUUUGUUUUAAGCUGUCGGAGAGAAGAAUG